UACGUAGGGUGCAAGCGUUGUCCGGAAUUAUUGGGCGUAAAGAGCUCGUAGGCGGUUCGUCGCGUCGGCUGUGAAAUCCCGAGGCUCAACCUCGGGUCUGCAGUCGAUACGGGCGGACUGGAGUACUGCAGGGGAGACUGGAAUUCCUGGUGUAGCGGUGAAAUGCGCAGAUAUCAGGAGGAACACCGGUGGCGAAGGCGGGUCUCUGGGCAGUUACUGACGCUGAGGUGCGAAAGCGUGGGGAGCAAACAGG
This 253-nucleotide ribosomal RNA is filed under the name uncultured bacterium. RNAcentral's name for it is "partial 16S ribosomal RNA". It matches the Rfam family "Bacterial small subunit ribosomal RNA", at positions 524 to 776 of the family's 1533-position model. The record is from RNAcentral.